This 1544-nucleotide long non-coding RNA is filed under the name Equus caballus (horse). Its description in RNAcentral is "lncRNA (ENSECAG00000056357.1)". The record is from RNAcentral. Lineage: Eukaryota; Metazoa; Chordata; Mammalia; Perissodactyla; Equidae.
CAGGAAUGAAGGACUCACCCUCAGCAGCUGGGAGUGCUGCUGGCAGACGGCCCUCAGCUGUGACCCUCUUUGGGGAUGGCAAUGGCUAAGGAGAGCCACUGUGCCCAAAGUUGUGCCCUUUCCUGUGGUGGCCAAUAUCUAAUGACUGACUGAGGACCUCUCACAGCUUUUAGCAAGCCUAUUUUUGCAUUGUGAAUCUCCAAGAGGGGAUGCCGUAUACAGCCCUUCCAAAAAGCAUUUGACCACAGAGCACUCCUUCAUUAGAUCGCCAUGCUAUCCUGCUAGAGGGAAAGGCCAUGUGGAAAGAGGACCUGGAGGAUGAGACACCACGUGGAGAGAGAGCCAUGCAGAAAAGGUCUGAGAUGCUCUAGCCUUGAGGGUGAGGCUGUCUUGAUCCUCCUGCCAAGCCCAGCUGAAUGCAGCCACAUGAAUGAGCCAGAUGGUUCCAUGUGGAACAGAGGCAUGCCAGCCCUGCUGAACCCUGCCUGAAGUCUCGACCCAGAGAAUCAUGCGCAAUAACUGGGUUUUGUUUUAAGCCACUAAGUUUUGGCAUGGUUUGUUAUGCAGCAAUAGAUAACUGAUAUAUUCUCCCAUUCUAUCCCCAGUGUCGAUCUCCCCCUCCCCCAAGAAAAUAUUAUCUUGAAAUUUGUCUUUAUCAUUACUUUGCUUUUUAAAAAUAAUUCUAUCAAGUAUGUAAAUUUUUUGCAGUCUAUUUUAUAAUUUUGAGCUGUUUUUGAGCUUCAUAAAUAUAGAUUCAUGCUACAUGUAUUCUAGGGAGAAUGGAAUUGUGGAAUACUCACCCAAUGAAAUAUUAUUACAGCAGUGAAAAUGAAUGUUGCCACACACAAUACCACAGAUGGACAAAGCUUAGAGGCAUAGUGUUGUAUUGAAAACAGUAAGUUGCAGAAGGCUACAGUAUAGAUCACUCAUCUUUUCAUAUGAUUAUUGGCCAGUUCUUCUUCUUCGAGUCUCUGGUUCUUGUUUUUUUUUUUUUUUUUUUUUUUUGGUCCAUUUUUCUUUUGGGCUGUCUUUUUCUUUUUUAUUUUUUACAGUGGAAGAUUUGCCUUAAGCUAUGUUGCCAAUCUUCCUCCUUUUUCUUCCUUUCCCCCCACAAAGCCCCAGUACAUAGUUGUAAAUUCUUCUAGUUCUUCUAUAUGAGCUGCCACCAUGGCAUGGCUACUGACAGGUGAGUGCUGUGGUUCUGCACCUGGGAACCAAACCCAGGCCGCCAAAGCAGAGUGCACCAAACUUUAACAGCUAGACCAUCAGGGCUGGCUCGUCUUUUUCUUAUUGAUUUCUUGGAAUCCUUUCUAAAUUUUCAGAAAUGUCCUUCAGCAGUAGAAUACUAGGAAUUACUUGAAUCUUGAGAAACAUUUCCAAGAGAAGAGUUUAAAAUUACCAAAUCAAACAAAAAAAAACACCCUGAAAGUAUUGAAAAAAAGAAUGAACAAAAUUAACAACAAAUUAAAUAGGCUCUUUGACUCCUUGCCUGAAAAUCCCAAGGAUCAGAGACCUGACAGAACCUUGGGCUCUGUUGCUAGAUA